CCCUACGGGGCGCAGCAGUGAGGAAUAUUGGUCAAUGGGCGGGAGCCUGAACCAGCCAAGCCGCGUGAGGGAAGAAGUAUUUCGGUAUGUAAAGCUCUAUCAGCAGGGAAGAAAAUGACGGUACCUGACUAAGAAGCUCCGGCUAAAUACGUGCCAGCAGCCGCGGUAAUACGUAUGGAGCAAGCGUUAUCCGGAAUUACUGGGUGUAAAGGGAGCGUAGACGGAUGUGCAAGUCUGAUGUGAAAGGCGGGGGCUCAACCCCUGGACUGCAUUGGAAACUGUAAAUCUUGAGUGCCGGAGAGGUA
RNAcentral lists this ribosomal RNA (305 nucleotides) under uncultured bacterium. RNAcentral's name for it is "bacterial SSU rRNA". It matches the Rfam family "Bacterial small subunit ribosomal RNA", at positions 337 to 659 of the family's 1533-position model. The record is from RNAcentral.